CCCUGCUUUUGUGGGGUGCUCGAGUGGCGAACGGGUGAGUAACACGUGGGUAACCUGCCCUUGACUUUGGGAUAACUUCAGGAAACUGGGGCUAAUACCGGAUAGGAGCUCCUGCUGCAUGGUGGGGGUUGGAAAGUUUCGGCGGUUGGGGAUGGACUCGCGGCUUAUCAGCUUGUUGGUGGGGUAGUGGCUUACCAAGGCUUUGACGGGUAGCCGGCCUGAGAGGGUGACCGGCCACAUUGGGACUGAGAUACGGCCCAGACUCCUACGGGAGGCAGCAGUGGGGAAUAUUGCACAAUGGGCGGAAGCCUGAUGCAGCAACGCCGCGUGCGGGAUGACGGCCUUCGGGUUGUAAACCGCUUUCGCCUGUGACGAAGCGUGAGUGACGGUAAUGGGUAAAGAAGCACCGGCUAACUACGUGCCAGCAGCCGCGGUGAUACGUAGGGUGCGAGCGUUGUCCGGAUUUAUUGGGCGUAAAGGGCUCGUAGGUGGUUGAUCGCGUCGGAAGUGUAAUCUUGGGGCUUAACCCUGAGCGUGCUUUCGAUACGGGUUGACUUGAGGAAGGUAGGGGAGAAUGGAAUUCCUGGUGGAGCGGUGGAAUGCGCAGAUAUCAGGAGGAACACCAGUGGCGAAGGCGGUUCUCUGGGCCUUUCCUGACGCUGAGGAGCGAAAGCGUGGGGAGCGAACAGGCUUAGAUACCCUGGUAGUCCACGCUGUAAACGGUGGGUACUAGGUGUGGGGUCCAUUCCACGGGUUCCGUGCCGUAGCUAACGCUUUAAGUACCCCGCCUGGGGAGUACGGCCGCAAGGCUAAAACUCAAAGGAAUUGACGGGGCCCCGCACAAGCGGCGGAGCAUGCGGAUUAAUUCGAUGCAACGCGUAGAACCUUACCUGGGUUUGACAUGGAUCGGGAGUGCUCAGAGAUGGGUGUGCCUCUUUUGGGGUCGGUUCACAGGUGGUGCAUGGCUGUCGUCAGCUCGUGUCGUGAGAUGUUGGGUUAAGUCCCGCAACGAGCGCAACCCUUGUUCACUGUUGCCAGCACGUUAUGGUGGGGACUCAGUGGAGACCGCCGGGGUCAAC
This 1079-nucleotide ribosomal RNA is filed under the name uncultured bacterium. RNAcentral's name for it is "bacterial SSU rRNA". It matches the Rfam family "Bacterial small subunit ribosomal RNA", at positions 73 to 1162 of the family's 1533-position model. The record is from RNAcentral.